RNAcentral lists this ribosomal RNA (1372 nucleotides) under uncultured bacterium. RNAcentral describes it as "bacterial SSU rRNA". It matches the Rfam family "Bacterial small subunit ribosomal RNA", at positions 28 to 1381 of the family's 1533-position model. The record is from RNAcentral.
GAUGAACGCUGGCGGCGUGCCUAAUACAUGCAAGUCGAGCGAACGGACGAGAAGCUUGCUUCUCUGAUGUUAGCGGCGGACGGGUGAGUAACACGUGGAUAACCUACCUAUAAGACUGGGAUAACUUCGGGAAACCGGAGCUAAUACCGGAUAAUAUUUUGAACCGCAUGGUUCAAAAGUGAAAGACGGUCUUGCUGUCACUUAUAGAUGGAUCCGCGCUGCAUUAGCUAGUUGGUAAGGUAACGGCUUACCAAGGCAACGAUGCAUAGCCGACCUGAGAGGGUGAUCGGCCACACUGGAACUGAGACACGGUCCAGACUCCUACGGGAGGCAGCAGUAGGGAAUCUUCCGCAAUGGGCGAAAGCCUGACGGAGCAACGCCGCGUGAGUGAUGAAGGUCUUCGGAUCGUAAAACUCUGUUAUUAGGGAAGAACAUAUGUGUAAGUAACUGUGCACAUCUUGACGGUACCUAAUCAGAAAGCCACGGCUAACUACGUGCCAGCAGCCGCGGUAAUACGUAGGUGGCAAGCGUUGUCCGGAAUUAUUGGGCGUAAAGCGCGCGUAGGCGGUUUUUUAAGUCUGAUGUGAAAGCCCACGGCUCAACCGUGGAGGGUCAUUGGAAACUGGAAAACUUGAGUGCAGAAGAGGAAAGUGGAAUUCCAUGUGUAGCGGUGAAAUGCGCAGAGAUAUGGAGGAACACCAGUGGCGAAGGCGACUUUCUGGUCUGUAACUGACGCUGAUGUGCGAAAGCGUGGGGAUCAAACAGGAUUAGAUACCCUGGUAGUCCACGCCGUAAACGAUGAGUGCUAAGUGUUAGGGGGUUUCCGCCCCUUAGUGCUGCAGCUAACGCAUUAAGCACUCCGCCUGGGGAGUACGACCGCAAGGUUGAAACUCAAAGGAAUUGACGGGGACCCGCACAAGCGGUGGAGCAUGUGGUUUAAUUCGAAGCAACGCGAAGAACCUUACCAAAUCUUGACAUCCUUUGACAACUCUAGAGAUAGAGCCUUCCCCUUCGGGGGGCAAAGUGACAGGUGGUGCAUGGUUGUCGUCAGCUCGUGUCGUGAGAUGUUGGGUUAAGUCCCGCAACGAGCGCAACCCUUAAGCUUAGUUGCCAUCAUUAAGUUGGGCACUCUAAGUUGACUGCCGGUGACAAACCGGAGGAAGGUGGGGAUGACGUCAAAUCAUCAUGCCCCUUAUGAUUUGGGCUACACACGUGCUACAAUGGACAAUACAAAGGGCAGCGAAACCGCGAGGUCAAGCAAAUCCCAUAAAGUUGUUCUCAGUUCGGAUUGUAGUCUGCAACUCGACUACAUGAAGCUGGAAUCGCUAGUAAUCGUAGAUCAGCAUGCUACGGUGAAUACGUUCCCGGGUCU